GAAAUGCGAUAAGUAAUGCGAAUUGCAGAAUUCAGUGAGUCAUCGAAUCUUUGAACGCAUAUUGCGCCCUUUGGUAUUCCGAAGGGCAUGCCUGUUCGAGCGUCAUUAUCAACCAUCAAGCUAAGCUUGUCGUUGGACCCUUUGUCGCCUGGCGACAGGUCCGAAAGAUAAUGAACGGUGUCAUGGCGACCCUAUAUGCAACGAGCUUGUCAAUAAGCACGCAUUUGGUGGUCGUCUGGCCCGAUCGUCACCUUUUAUUUUCUCCAGGUUGACCUCGGAUCAGGUAGGAAUACCCGCUGAACUUAA
RNAcentral lists this unclassified non-coding RNA (306 nucleotides) under uncultured Herpotrichiellaceae. Its description in RNAcentral is "sequence contains ITS1". The stretch from base 1 to 105 matches the Rfam family "5.8S ribosomal RNA", at positions 50 to 154 of the family's 154-position model. Lineage: Eukaryota; Fungi; Ascomycota; Eurotiomycetes; Chaetothyriales; Herpotrichiellaceae. The record is from RNAcentral.